RNAcentral lists this non-coding RNA (185 nucleotides) under Desulfonauticus sp. The record is from RNAcentral. Lineage: Bacteria; Pseudomonadati; Thermodesulfobacteriota; Desulfovibrionia; Desulfovibrionales; Desulfonauticaceae.
GGUUCUUUAACUUUUUCUGGUGCCUAACUCAGGCUUAAUAGGGAAUCCUGUGCAAAUCAGGAGCGGUCCCGCCGCCGUGAGCCCUAAGAAAACCUAAACUUCCUGGUGUGCCACUGCCUAAAAAGGUGGGAAGGCCGAAGUUUAGGGGGGUGAGCCGGAAGACCUGCCAGAAAAAGUCUGGACCG